AUUCAGUUGACGAGUCGCGAAUAGGACGAAACGCGUGUUAUGGAU
Molecule: non-coding RNA, 45 nt
Organism: Schistosoma haematobium
Lineage: Eukaryota; Metazoa; Platyhelminthes; Trematoda; Strigeidida; Schistosomatidae
Source: Rfam